This 409-nucleotide ribosomal RNA is filed under the name uncultured bacterium. Its description in RNAcentral is "bacterial SSU rRNA". It matches the Rfam family "Bacterial small subunit ribosomal RNA", at positions 791 to 1195 of the family's 1533-position model. The record is from RNAcentral.
UAGUCCACGCCGUAAACGAUGAGUACUCGCCGUUGGGAUAGGCUUUAAGUCUAUUUUAGUGGCUAAGCUAACGCGAUAAGUACUCCGCCUGGGGAUUACGGCCGCAAGGCUAAAACUCAAAGGAAUUGACGGGGGCCCGCACAAGCGGUGGAGCAUGUGGUUUAAUUCGAUGCAACGCGAAGAACCUUACCUACCCUUGACAUCAUCAGAACUUGUUAGAGAUAACUCGGUGCCUUUUGGAACUGAUAGACAGGUGCUGCAUGGCUGUCGUCAGCUCGUGUCGUGAGAUGCUGGGUUAAGUCCCGUAACGAGCGCAACCCUUAUCCUUAGUUACCAUCAUUAAGUUGGGGACUCUAAGGAGACUGCCGGUGACAAACCGGAGGAAGGCGGGGACGACGUCAAGUCAUCA